RNAcentral lists this ribosomal RNA (253 nucleotides) under uncultured bacterium. Its description in RNAcentral is "partial 16S ribosomal RNA". It matches the Rfam family "Bacterial small subunit ribosomal RNA", at positions 524 to 776 of the family's 1533-position model. The record is from RNAcentral.
UACGGAGGGUGCAAGCGUUGCUCGGAAUUAUUGGGCGUAAAGCGCGUGUAGGCGGCUAUCUAAGUCUGGUGUGAAAUCCCGGGGCUCAACCCCGGAACUGCAUUGGAUACUGGAUGGCUAGAGGAUGAGAGAGGAUGGUGGAAUUCCUGGUGUAGGGGUGAAAUCCGUAGAUAUCAGGAGGAACAUCGGUGGCGAAGGCGGCCAUCUGGCUCAUUUCUGACGCUGAGACGCAAAAGCGUGGGGAGCAAACAGG